Molecule: long non-coding RNA, 329 nt
Filed under: Coffea arabica (coffee)
Lineage: Eukaryota; Viridiplantae; Streptophyta; Magnoliopsida; Gentianales; Rubiaceae
Description: long non-coding RNA (CARA_LNC004589)
Source: RNAcentral
CGGCUGGAAAUCAGAAAAGGAAAAGGAAGGAUCUUCAGUUGGCAUCGCCUGCAUCAGCGCUGGAGUCUCUUGCAACCCAGUUCGUGGAUUCAAAUUGCUAGAGCCGUGCGAUUUCCAGGAGCCUCUACUGUUUCGUUUAGCAGCCUAGGUGUUUUCAGGUAGUCAUGGAUCCUUUUCAAUCUUAGUUUGACAAAAUUUUCUUCCUUUCCUAAGUGUUGUCGAUGCUUAAGGACGAGGACUGUAAAUCAUCCUUCUCUUUCUUUAGUCGUCGAAGUUGUGACCUGUUUGUCGUUCUUGUUUUUGUUUGUCGCUUGACUGAGGAUGCCAUG